This 800-nucleotide ribosomal RNA is filed under the name uncultured archaeon. RNAcentral describes it as "bacterial SSU rRNA". It matches the Rfam family "Archaeal small subunit ribosomal RNA", at positions 102 to 903 of the family's 1478-position model. The record is from RNAcentral.
AGUCAACCUACCCUAUGGACGAGAAUAAUCUCGGGAAACUGAGCAUAAUUCUCGAUAGAUCAUAAUGCCUGGAAUGGUUUAUGGUUAAAAUGAUUCGUCGCCAUAGGAUGGGACUGCGGCCUAUCAGCUUGUUGGUGAGGUAAUGGCCCACCAAGGCGAUUACAGGUACGGGCUCUGAGAGGAGAAGCCCGGAGAUGGGUACUGAGACAAGGACCCAGGCCCUAUGGGGCGCAGCAGGCGAGAAAACUUUGCAAUGUGCGAAAGCACGACAAGGUUAAUCCGAGUGAUUUCUGCUAAAGAAAUCUUUUGUCAGCCAUAAAAUCACUGGCGAAUAAGGGGUGGGCAAGUUCUGGUGUCAGCCGCCGCGGUAAAACCAGCACCUCAAGUGGUCAGGAUGAUUAUUGGGCCUAAAGCAUCCGUAGCCGGCUUUGUUAGUUUUCGGUUAAAUCCAUGUGCUCAACGCAUGGGCCGCCGAAAAUACUGCAGUGCUAGGGAGUGGGAGAGGUAGACGGUACUCAGUAGGAAGGGGUAAAAUCCUUUGAUCUAUUGAUGACCACCUGUGGCGAAGGCGGUCUACCAGAACACGUUCGACGGUGAGGGAUGAAAGCUGGGGGAGCAAACCGGAUUAGAUACCCGGGUAGUCCCAGCUGUAAACGAUGCAGACUCGAUGAUGCAUUGGCAUAUAGCCAGUGCAGUGUCGCAGGGAAGCCGUUAAGUCUGCCGCCUGGGAAGUACGUACGCAAGUAUGAAACUUAAAGGAAUUGGCGGGGGAGCACCACAAGGGGUGAAGCCUGCGGUUC